UACGAAGGGGGCUAGCGUUGUUCGGAAUUACUGGGCGUAAAGGGCGCGUAGGCGGCGUGUCAAGUCAGGCGUGAAAGCCCCGGGCUCAACCUGGGAACAGCGCUUGAGACUGGCACGCUCGAGUUCGGGAGAGGAUGGUGGAAUUCCCAGUGUAGAGGUGAAAUUCGUAGAUAUUGGGAAGAACACCGAUGGCGAAGGCAGCCAUCCGGACCGACACUGACGCUGAGGCGCGAAAGCGUGGGGAGCAAACAGG
Molecule: ribosomal RNA, 253 nt
Filed under: uncultured bacterium
Lineage: Bacteria
Description: partial 16S ribosomal RNA
Rfam family: Bacterial small subunit ribosomal RNA
Source: RNAcentral